Non-coding RNA from Nicotiana attenuata, 104 nucleotides. Lineage: Eukaryota; Viridiplantae; Streptophyta; Magnoliopsida; Solanales; Solanaceae. The record is from Rfam.
GGCGUGAUCAGGGACAUCCGAUAAAAUUGAACCGAUACAGAGAAGAUUAGCAUGGGCCCAGCGCAAGGAUGAUACGCACAAAUCGAGAAAUGGUCCAAAUUAAA